CUGAACUGGAUGAUGACAUCACUGAAUCAUCAAUGAAUGGACUUUAGCUGCAAAAAUGACACUUUGUUAUUUGUCAAGUCACCUUUAUUUGU
Sinocyclocheilus anshuiensis is the source of this 92-nucleotide long non-coding RNA. RefSeq lists it as uncharacterized. NCBI's taxonomy places the organism in Eukaryota, Metazoa, Chordata, Actinopteri, Cypriniformes, Cyprinidae. The record is from RefSeq and is a predicted model, not a curated record. The transcript is spliced from 3 exons.